Neopelma chrysocephalum (saffron-crested tyrant-manakin) is the source of this 504-nucleotide long non-coding RNA. RefSeq lists it as uncharacterized. NCBI's taxonomy places the organism in Eukaryota, Metazoa, Chordata, Aves, Passeriformes, Pipridae. The record is from RefSeq and is a predicted model, not a curated record. The transcript has 3 exons.
UCUCUGCGUGGCUGAGCACAUUAUCGUACAGUCCCAGCCACUACAGUAAUGUCUGGUGUGACUUCAAAGACUCUCCUCUGAAACUAGGACAGAGCUCUGUGUUGCUGCUCCAACCCUUUCCAUCUGCCUUUUUGUUCACCAUCACAACUGUGGCCUGUCCUCAUAUGUGAAAUAACAAAUUGGAUUUUGUCUUACUUGCUGUAAAGCCUUGGAGAAAUGACUCAGUUCAUGCAAACCACCAACUCUCCCACUUACCCUCUUGUGAAGGAAAAUUUAUUUUAGUUGAAUUGGGUGAUUACAGUCAAGGAGGAGAAACAUUUGCCUUUUCAAGCAUAGGAGAAGUCAAAGAACCCUCAGAGAUGGUUAGUUAUUCAGCAUGUUCACGUGGCAAGUCAGUCACCAUGGACAUCGCUGGAAUCAGCUGGGAUUUAGGAGGAAGAGGGGAAUUGUGAGAGUAUAGAUGUGGGGAAAACAUACAUAAAUUUUAUUUUUAAAUAAAAAAAC